UAUUAAAAACUCCAUCUAUUUUUGCUGUUAAAAAAUUGUCAAUAUAUGUUAGAAUGAGGUAUACAUGGCAUGUCACGUGUAAUUGUCUAGUUAUUCUAUCAGUCAUGCUAGUUUUUAACAAUAGAAAUAGAUGAAAUUUUUAACA
Gossypium raimondii (Peruvian cotton) is the source of this 145-nucleotide non-coding RNA. NCBI's taxonomy places the organism in Eukaryota, Viridiplantae, Streptophyta, Magnoliopsida, Malvales, Malvaceae. The record is from Rfam.